RNAcentral lists this long non-coding RNA (246 nucleotides) under Mytilus galloprovincialis (Mediterranean mussel). The record is from RNAcentral. Lineage: Eukaryota; Metazoa; Mollusca; Bivalvia; Mytilida; Mytilidae.
GUGAAUAGAUCUUAAUGAAAUUUUUUCAGAAGGUUCAAUACCACAAAAGGAAGGUUGGGAUUUAUUUUGGGGAUGAUGGUCCGAACCGUUUAGGAAUUAUGGGCCUAAAAGGGGCCAAAACAAGCAUUUUUCUAGUUUCAGGAUAAUAACUUGUUUACCAGUAUUUCAAUUGCUCUGAAAGUAUACUGCAAUGUUUAAAAUCACAAGUAGAAGGUUUGGAUUCAUUUAAGGGGUUAUGGGGCCAAA